This 253-nucleotide ribosomal RNA is filed under the name uncultured bacterium. Its description in RNAcentral is "partial 16S ribosomal RNA". It matches the Rfam family "Bacterial small subunit ribosomal RNA", at positions 524 to 776 of the family's 1533-position model. The record is from RNAcentral.
UACGUAGGGUGCGAGCGUUGUCCGGAAUUAUUGGGCGUAAAGAGCUCGUAGGCGGUUUGUCACGUCUGCUGUGAAAUCCCGAGGCUCAACCUCGGGCCUGCAGUGGGUACGGGCAGACUGGAGUGCGGUAGGGGAGAAUGGAAUUCCUGGUGUAGCGGUGAAAUGCGCAGAUAUCAGGAGGAACACCGGUGGCGAAGGCGGGUCUCUGGGCAACAACUGACGCUGAGGAGCGAAAGCGUGGGGAGCGAACAGG